This 484-nucleotide ribosomal RNA is filed under the name uncultured bacterium. Its description in RNAcentral is "partial 16S ribosomal RNA". It matches the Rfam family "Bacterial small subunit ribosomal RNA", at positions 30 to 507 of the family's 1533-position model. The record is from RNAcentral.
AUUGAACGCUGGCGGCAUGCUUUACACAUGCAAGUCGAACGGCAGCGCGGUCUUCUUCCUGGCUGCUAGUGUCGAACGGGUGUGUAUUACAUCUGAACGUGCCCCGUUUUGCGUUAUAGCUCGUCGAAAGCCGUAUUAAUACCGCAUACUACCUGAGGCUGAUAGCUGGUGAUCUUCGGACCUCUCGCUAUUUUAGCGGUCGAUGCCCGUUUUGUUAGUUGGUUGGGUAAAUGCCUACCAAGGCCACGAUCUGUAGCUGGUCUGAGAGGACGACAAGCCAAACUGGGAGUGAGACACGGACAAGAGUCCUAAGGGAGGCAGCAGUGGGGAAUGUUGGACAAUGGGCGAAAGCAUGAUACAGCAAGGCCGAGUGUGAGAUGAAGGCGUUCGGGUUGUAAAGAACUUUUGGGGGGAACGAAAAGGAGUGGGCCAAUACCAAGGUUGGAUGACGGUAACCGAAGAAUAAGCACCGGCUAACUACGUG